RNAcentral lists this ribosomal RNA (1986 nucleotides) under Gallibacterium anatis. RNAcentral describes it as "bacterial LSU rRNA". It matches the Rfam family "Bacterial large subunit ribosomal RNA", at positions 1082 to 2925 of the family's 2925-position model. The record is from RNAcentral. Lineage: Bacteria; Pseudomonadati; Pseudomonadota; Gammaproteobacteria; Pasteurellales; Pasteurellaceae.
GGCUUAGACAGCUAGGAUGUUGGCUUAGAAGCAGCCAUCAUUUAAAGAAAGCGUAAUAGCUCACUAGUCGAGUCGGUCUGCGCGGAAGAUGUAACGGGGCUAAAAUAUAGCACCGAAGCUGCGGCAUCAGGCGUAUCACACAUACGCCUUACGAUUAACACCUUGCGAAGCAAGGUGGUCAAGCGACUUACACGUUGAGGUGUGAGCGGGAGGGAUAAUCGAAGAGAGGAAUAUGUGUGAUACGUCUGUUGGGUAGGGGAGCGUUGUGUAAGCUGAAGAAGGUGGUUCGAGAGGGCUGCUGGAGGUAUCACAAGUGCGAAUGCUGACAUAAGUAACGAUAAAGCGGGUGAAAGGCCCGCUCGCCGGAAGACCAAGGUUUCCUGUCCAACGUUAAUCGGGGCAGGGUGAGUCGGCCCCUAAGGCGAGGCUGAGAAGCGUAGUCGAUGGGAAAUGGGUUAAUAUUCCCAUACUUGGAUAAACUGCGAUGUGGGGACGGAGCAGGUUAGGUUAGCGUACGGAUGGAAGAGUACGUUUAAGUUAGUAGGUGGGUGAGUUAGGCAAAUCCGGCUCACCAUUAACACUGAGAGAUGAUGACGAGGCUCUACGGAGCUGAAGUAACUGAUACCCAACUUCCAGGAAAAGCCACUAAGCGAGAGGUUUAUCUAAACCGUACUGGAAACCGACACAGGUGGUCAGGUAGAGAAUACUAAGGCGCUUGAGAGAACUCGGGUGAAGGAACUAGGCAAAAUAGCACCGUAACUUCGGGAGAAGGUGCGCUGGCGUAGUGUGAAGUUCUUUGCGAAUGGAGCAUGAACCAGUCGAAGCGACGAGCUGGCUGCAACUGUUUAAUAAAAACACAGCACUCUGCAAACACGAAAGUGGACGUAUAGGGUGUGAUGCCUGCCCGGUGCUGGAAGGUUAAUUGAUGGUGUUAUCGAAAGAGAAGCACCUGAUCGAAGCCCCAGUAAACGGCGGCCGUAACUAUAACGGUCCUAAGGUAGCGAAAUUCCUUGUCGGGUAAGUUCCGACCUGCACGAAUGGCAUAAUGAUGGCCAGGCUGUCUCCACCCGAGACUCAGUGAAAUUGAAAUCGCCGUGAAGAUGCGGUGUACCCGCGGCUAGACGGAAAGACCCCGUGAACCUUUACUAUAGCUUGACACUGAACCUUGAAUUUUAAUGUGUAGGAUAGGUGGGAGACAAAGAAGCGGUAACGCCAGUUAUCGUGGAGUCGGUGUUGAAAUACCACCCUUUAACGUUUGAUGUUCUAACGAGGCGCCUGGGACAGGUGUUCGGACAGUGUCUGGUGGGUAGUUUGACUGGGGCGGUCUCCUCCCAAAGCGUAACGGAGGAGCACGAAGGUUGGCUAAUGACGGUCGGACAUCGUCAGGUUAGUGCAAUGGUAGAAGCCAGCUUAACUGCGAGACGGACAAGUCGAGCAGGUACGAAAGUAGGUCAUAGUGAUCCGGUGGUUCUGAAUGGAAGGGCCAUCGCUCAACGGAUAAAAGGUACUCCGGGGAUAACAGGCUGAUACCGCCCAAGAGUUCAUAUCGACGGCGGUGUUUGGCACCUCGAUGUCGGCUCAUCACAUCCUGGGGCUGAAGUAGGUCCCAAGGGUAUGGCUGUUCGCCAUUUAAAGUGGUACGCGAGCUGGGUUUAGAACGUCGUGAGACAGUUCGGUCCCUAUCUGCCGUGGGCGUUGGAGGAUUGAGGGGGGUUGCUCCUAGUACGAGAGGACCGGAGUGAACGCACCGCUGGUGUUCCAGUUGUUUCGCCAGAAGCAUAGCUGGGUAGCUAAGUGCGGAAGAGAUAAGUGCUGAAAGCAUCUAAGCACGAAACUUGCCCCGAGAUGAGUUCUCCCUGACAUAGAGUCAGUAAGGGUUGUUGAAGACGACGACGUAGAUAGGUGGGGUGUGUAAGCGGUGUGAGCCGUUGAGCUAACCCAUACUAAUUGCCCGAGAGGCUUAACUAUACAACGCUGAAGGGUUUU